GGAAGCAUGGUGACGACAUGUGGAGCUGACGAAUACUAAUCGAUCGAAGACUUAAUCAA
Molecule: ribosomal RNA, 59 nt
Filed under: Staphylococcus aureus
Lineage: Bacteria; Bacillati; Bacillota; Bacilli; Caryophanales; Staphylococcaceae
Description: partial 23S ribosomal RNA
Source: RNAcentral